UACGGAGGGUGCAAGCGUUAUCCGGAAUCACUGGGUUUAAAGGGUGCGUAGGCGGCUUAGUAAGUCAGUGGUGAAAGGCUGUGGCUUAACCAUGGAAUUGCCAUUGAUACUGCUGAGCUUGAAUAAGGUUGAGGUUGGCGGAAUGUGACAUGUAGCGGUGAAAUGCUUAGAUAUGUCAUGGAACACCGAUUGCGAAGGCAGCUGACUGGACCUGCAUUGACGCUGAGGCACGAAAGCGUGGGGAGCGAACAGG
Molecule: ribosomal RNA, 253 nt
Filed under: uncultured Lewinella sp.
Lineage: Bacteria; Pseudomonadati; Bacteroidota; Saprospiria; Saprospirales; Lewinellaceae
Description: partial 16S ribosomal RNA
Rfam family: Bacterial small subunit ribosomal RNA
Source: RNAcentral